RNAcentral lists this ribosomal RNA (781 nucleotides) under Streptomyces bacillaris. RNAcentral describes it as "bacterial SSU rRNA". It matches the Rfam family "Bacterial small subunit ribosomal RNA", at positions 22 to 818 of the family's 1533-position model. The record is from RNAcentral. Lineage: Bacteria; Bacillati; Actinomycetota; Actinomycetes; Kitasatosporales; Streptomycetaceae.
GCUCAGGACGAACGCUGGCGGCGUGCUUAACACAUGCAAGUCGAACGAUGAAGCCGCUUCGGUGGUGGAUUAGUGGCGAACGGGUGAGUAACACGUGGGCAAUCUGCCCUUCACUCUGGGACAAGCCCUGGAAACGGGGUCUAAUACCGGAUAAUACUCUGUUCCGCAUGGAACGGGGUUGAAAGCUCCGGCGGUGAAGGAUGAGCCCGCGGCCUAUCAGCUUGUUGGUGGGGUAAUGGCCUACCAAGGCGACGACGGGUAGCCGGCCUGAGAGGGCGACCGGCCACACUGGGACUGAGACACGGCCCAGACUCCUACGGGAGGCAGCAGUGGGGAAUAUUGCACAAUGGGCGAAAGCCUGAUGCAGCGACGCCGCGUGAGGGAUGACGGCCUUCGGGUUGUAAACCUCUUUCAGCAGGGAAGAAGCGCAAGUGACGGUACCUGCAGAAGAAGCGCCGGCUAACUACGUGCCAGCAGCCGCGGUAAUACGUAGGGCGCAAGCGUUGUCCGGAAUUAUUGGGCGUAAAGAGCUCGUAGGCGGCUUGUCACGUCGGAUGUGAAAGCCCGGGGCUUAACCCCGGGUCUGCAUUCGAUACGGGCUAGCUAGAGUGUGGUAGGGGAGAUCGGAAUUCCUGGUGUAGCGGUGAAAUGCGCAGAUAUCAGGAGGAACACCGGUGGCGAAGGCGGAUCUCUGGGCCAUUACUGACGCUGAGGAGCGAAAGCGUGGGGAGCGAACAGGAUUAGAUACCCUGGUAGUCCACGCCGUAAACGUUGGGAACUA